This is an RNA transcript of Condylostylus longicornis, 1579 nucleotides long. It is a transcript of the gene named guanylate kinase, with no coding region annotated. The transcript is spliced from 5 exons. NCBI's taxonomy places the organism in Eukaryota, Metazoa, Arthropoda, Insecta, Diptera, Dolichopodidae. The record is from RefSeq and is a predicted model, not a curated record.
GAAAAUACUGAUAGGGUUUUUUCAUUUGCGUACUUUAAAAACAAAGUAUACACAGUGUGUAUUAUUAUACUCACAUGUACGUACAUAUGUAUGUUCAUAUUUUUGGUCAUUGGAAAAAAAUUUGGAAAGCCAUCAACCAAUUUUAGCUAAUAAUUAUAUGUGCAUAUACGUUUGUAAGCAGUUAAAUUAUAGCAUUUAAUUAAGAAAACAUUUUGGAUUGCGUGUUAAAAAAUGCUUACUUUAAUGGCUUUAAUUGCAAGGGCAUUCAGCAGUAUGUCCAACGAAGGUCCACGUCCACUUGUCAUUUGUGGCCCAUCAGGUUCUGGUAAAAGUACACUAUUAAAAAAAUUAUUUGAAGAAUUCCCGGAUACUUUCGGUUUUAGCAUUUCGCAUACAACACGUAAUCCAAGACCUGGUGAGCAACAUGGAAUUCAUUAUCAUUUUGUAACACGACAAGAAAUGCACGAUUCCAUUUCGAACGGGGAAUUCAUUGAAACUGCAUGCUUUAGUGGUAAUUUGUACGGAACAAGUAUACAGGCCGUACGCACUGUUCAAUCACAAGGAAAAGUAUGUGUUCUUGAUAUUGAAAUUCAGGGAGUUGAGCAAAUCCGUAAUUCUAACUUGAAUCCGAUACUAAUAUUUAAUAACCCACCCUCAAUCGAAGAAUUGGAAAGAAGAUUACGAGGACGUAAUACUGAAACAGAAGAAAGUUUGCAAAAACGUUUAGACACCGCACGGCGAGAAAUUGAGUAUGGUCGUACUCCAGGAAAUUUUCAUACAAUCAUUCAUAAUGAUGACAUUGAAAGGGCGUACAGAGAAUUGAAAAAAUUCAUUUUGCAAGAAUUGGAAGAACAGCAACGAAAUGGAAUAGCUUUAAACUUAAGACAGAUAAAUUCUUCAGAAAUAAAUUAAAAUCUAAGAUGAAGCCUAUAAAGUAAAAAUAUACAAAAGAUAAACAUUUCGUUGUUUAUUGAGAGUACAUGCUUAUACAUAUAAAGUGGUUCCUUCACAAACACAAAGUUUUUUAAAAGAAAGAAAAAGAAAGUGCCAUCAGUAAGACUGUAAGAUCCAGAACUUGGCAAGAAACAUAACUGCCACUCAUUCUUUGACAUUGCUAAUGAUAAUGGACCCACAAAGUGAAACACUAUAUCGAAAACUGUAGCUAAAAGUCUUACUAAUAUCAGUAAAUACAACAUCAACCAGACUACUUCGUUUUGUGAUGUGAUAGUUUCGUAGACAAAUCUCGUUAAAUUACUGAUCGCUGAUUUUACUCUAUAAAUGAAAUUAUCACUCCUAUGUUGGUCAACAGCAAGACAAAAAAUUUCAAAAGAAUUUUGCAAAAGAGUUGAGGGACGGCUCCAGUAAUGAAGAACUUUUUAUUACAUGCAGUCGAAAACGGAUAGCGAAAAAUGUUUUGAGUAAAGAUGAUGUUUCACUUAUCUGCUUCUUAAAGUUGCCACUUAUGCAUUUUCGUGACAUCGUUAAUGUCUCAAAAAAAAACUUAUACCCGAUACAAUGUUAAUUUUUUUUAAUGUAAUAUAAUCAAAAAAGUUUUAAUUAUACAUUGUGUUUUGAUACA